This 1244-nucleotide ribosomal RNA is filed under the name Pseudogymnoascus pannorum. RNAcentral describes it as "partial large subunit ribosomal RNA". It matches the Rfam family "Eukaryotic large subunit ribosomal RNA", at positions 74 to 1428 of the family's 3401-position model. Lineage: Eukaryota; Fungi; Ascomycota; Leotiomycetes; Thelebolales; Thelebolaceae. The record is from RNAcentral.
AUUACCUCAGUAACGGCGAAGUGAAGCGGUAACAGCUCAAAUUUGAAAUCUGGCCUCACGGUCCGAGUUGUAAUUUGUAGAGGAUGCUUCGAGCAUGGUCUGGCCUAAGUUGCCUUGGAACAGGACGUCAUAGAGGGUGAGAAUCCCGUAUGCGGCCAGGUGCCUACGCUCAUGUGAAGCUCCUUCGACGAAGUCGAGUUGUUUGGGAAUGCAGCUCAAAAAUGGGUGGUAAAUUUCAUCUAAAGCUAAAUAUUGGCCAGAGACCGAUAGCGCACAAGUAGAGUGAUCGAAAGAUGAAAAAGCACUUUGGAAAGAGAGUUAAACAGUACGUGAAAAUUGUUGAAAAGGGAAGCGCUUGCAACCAGACUUGCGCGCGGCCGAUCAUCCGGUGUUCUCACCGGUGCACUCGGCCGUGCUCAGGCCAGCAUCGGUUUUGGCGGCUGGAUAAAGGCCCUAGGAAUGUAGCUCCUCUCGGGGAGUGUUAUAGCCUAGGGUGCAAUGCAGCCUGCUGGGACCGAGGACCGCGCUUCGGCUAGGAUGCUGGCGUAAUGGUUGUAAGCGGCCCGUCUUGAAACACGGACCAAGGAGUCUAACAUCUAUGCGAGUGUUUGGGUGUCAAACCCAUACGCGUAAUGAAAGUGAACGGAGGUGAGAACCCUUAAGGGUGCAUCAUCGACCGGUCCUGAAGUUUACGGAAGGAUCUGAGUAAGAGCAUAGCUGUUGGGACCCGAAAGAUGGUGAACUAUGCCUGAAUAGGGUGAAGCCAGAGGAAACUCUGGUGGAGGCUCGCAGCGGUUCUGACGUGCAAAUCGAUCGUCAAAUUUGGGUAUAGGGGCGAAAGACUAAUCGAACCAUUGACCUGUAGGAACACUACUAGGUGGUUAAGAGGCGGCUAAAAAGUGCCGUCUAGUCCCGACGCCGGGGCGACACUGUCAAAUUGCGGGAACAUCCUUAGAGCCUAGACUACCGCAGCCUUCCUGAAAGGGGGGUGCGCACCAGGGUAAUGACCUCGGGUAUGGUAAUAACGUCUAGGAUUGGACAAUCCGCAGCCCAAGCCCUACGGACUUCGGUCUAUGGUGCAGUUCAUCGACUAGAUGGCAGUGGGUGGCAGCAAUGCCGCUUAAGAUAUAGUCAGACCCCCGGGAGACCGGGCGGCAGAACAAAGACCGNGGGGGGCGUCCUCUCUGAGAGCCCUGCGGUCCCGAGUCUGCUGGUGGCAUCGCAGCUUGCUGCGGUGCCUGAGU